AGCGAACGUUAGCGGCGCGCCUAACACAUGCAAGUCGCACGAGAAAGGGAGCAAUCCCCGGUACAGUGGCGCACGGGUGAGUAACACGUAGAUGACCUUCCCUGGAGUGGUGGAUAACCUGCCGAAAGGCGGGCUAAUACAGCAUGGGACCACAUGGUUUUGACCGAGUGGUGAAAGCGGGCCUCUGUUCACAAGCUCGCGCUCUGGGAUGGGUCUGCGUCCCAUCAGCUAGUUGGUGAGGUAAUGGCUCACCAAGGCAUCGACGGGUAGCUGGUCUGAGAGGAUGACCAGCCACACUGGAACUGAGACACGGUCCAGACUCCUACGGGAGGCAGCAGUGGGGAAUCUUGCGCAAUGGGCGAAAAGCCUGACGCAGCGACGCCGCGUGGGUGAUGAAGGCC
RNAcentral lists this ribosomal RNA (401 nucleotides) under uncultured bacterium. Its description in RNAcentral is "bacterial SSU rRNA". It matches the Rfam family "Bacterial small subunit ribosomal RNA", at positions 29 to 416 of the family's 1533-position model. The record is from RNAcentral.